AUCUCCAGUAAUAUGCAACGGUACACCUUGUUGGUAGUGUUCUUCUUAUAUCACCCAGGGGCAGAGCAGAUGAGAGUCCUUUGUUCAUCCUAGCUUGAUGCCUGGUAGCCAAAGCUGUCUUAUGCCUGGGACUCAUAA
This is a non-coding RNA of Mus caroli (Ryukyu mouse), 138 nucleotides long. The record is from RefSeq and is a predicted model, not a curated record. NCBI's taxonomy places the organism in Eukaryota, Metazoa, Chordata, Mammalia, Rodentia, Muridae.